This 77-nucleotide transfer RNA is filed under the name Oscillospiraceae bacterium. Its description in RNAcentral is "tRNA-His". It matches the Rfam family "tRNA". Rfam says of the family: Transfer RNA (tRNA) molecules are approximately 80 nucleotides in length. Their secondary structure includes four short double-helical elements and three loops (D, anti-codon, and T loops). Further hydrogen bonds mediate the characteristic L-shaped molecular structure. tRNAs have two regions of fundamental functional importance: the anti-codon, which is responsible for specific mRNA codon recognition, and the 3' end, to which the tRNAs corresponding amino acid is attached (by aminoacyl-tRNA synthetases). tRNAs cope with the degeneracy of the genetic code in two manners: having more than one tRNA (with a specific anti-codon) for a particular amino acid; and 'wobble' base-pairing, i.e. permitting non-standard base-pairing at the 3rd anti-codon position. Lineage: Bacteria; Bacillati; Bacillota; Clostridia; Eubacteriales; Oscillospiraceae. The record is from RNAcentral.
GUGGCUGUAGCUCAGUCGGUUAGAGUACCAGGUUGUGGCCCUGGGGGUCGUCGGUUCGAAUCCGAUCAGCCACCCCA